GUUGAGCAGGAAGAAAAAGAGGAAUGGAGUCACACAGGAGUCUCAGGUGAAUCAUUUCAGACGUCAUGAUGACAGAUAUAAAGCUUGUGAUGUUGAGAUGAAUGAACCUGUUUAUGAGAAUGUAAGGCUCGAUAUGAAGAGACCAUAGUGUUUGGGAAACCUGGUGAAACAUUUUAUAGCAUUUUUGUAUCUCUUAUGUGUGGAGCGAAAAUGUAUGUGGAGUGGGGCCCUGAAAAGUUCAAAGUUUAUAUA
Molecule: long non-coding RNA, 252 nt
Organism: Cyprinus carpio (common carp)
Lineage: Eukaryota; Metazoa; Chordata; Actinopteri; Cypriniformes; Cyprinidae
Exons: 3
Source: RefSeq, a predicted model, not a curated record